Molecule: long non-coding RNA, 336 nt
Organism: Mauremys mutica (yellowpond turtle)
Lineage: Eukaryota; Metazoa; Chordata; Testudines; Geoemydidae
Exons: 3
Source: RefSeq, a predicted model, not a curated record
AAGGGAGACAAGCAUCCCCUCUGCAGAGCUGUUAGGAGGAAGGAAGAAUUAUCUCUAAGAUAAUCAUCCAAAUGGAGAACUAAAGUAUAUGUACAAAAUUUAGUAAGAUGAUGGUGAUGUACCAACUCAAGUGGAACUCCAGUGAUGGAAUCUUGUCAUCAUUUCCCAUAAACUGUCAACCAAUCGCUCUCUGAAAUGCAAGAUGUCAAUUGUGAAGGCAGAAGACAACUUGAGCCAAUGUAACUCUGAGAAGAUAAAUUUAGAGCAGAUCAUAGCACAAAGAAAAAAAAACAUUACAAAGAAGGCACAUAGUACAAAAAGACAUCAAUCACCUGC